AUACUCCUGACUGACCGAUAGUGAACCAGUACCGUGAGGGAAAGGCGAAAAGAACCCCGGCGAGGGGAGUGAAAAAGAACCUGAAACCGUGUACGUACAAGCAGUGGGAGCCCCACCACUAAGCCAGUGGUGAACUCCACAUACGCAUCCUUUGCUGAGGAUACGGUUAACGGAGCGAAAGCGACGUUCAACCUCAAAAGAAGCAGAGGGGGCUUAGUGGUGGGGUGACUGCGUACCUUUUGUAUAAUGGGUCAGCGACUUAUAUUCUGUAGCAAGGUUAACCGUAUAGGGGAGCCGGAGGGAAACCGAGUCUUAACCGGGCGUUAAGUUGCAGG
Molecule: ribosomal RNA, 335 nt
Filed under: Salmonella enterica
Lineage: Bacteria; Pseudomonadati; Pseudomonadota; Gammaproteobacteria; Enterobacterales; Enterobacteriaceae
Also listed under: 1 other name
Description: partial 23S ribosomal RNA
Rfam family: Bacterial large subunit ribosomal RNA
Source: RNAcentral